Miniopterus natalensis is the source of this 252-nucleotide non-coding RNA. NCBI's taxonomy places the organism in Eukaryota, Metazoa, Chordata, Mammalia, Chiroptera, Miniopteridae. The record is from RefSeq and is a predicted model, not a curated record.
ACAUGGCGGAGCCGGCUUGAGAGUGGCUGCUGUUUCCCUAACGGGAGCGGCGCGGUUCGCUGUCCGGGGACCCGCCGCGAGUUGCGGGAAGGGCAGGAAUGCCGUGCCCUUGAUGCAUCCUGUCGGAACUCGAGCAGGACCUCUCCUGGUCCCAGGACAGCCGUGUUACCUUUCAGGACCCAAUUUACAUGAUGGGCAUUUCACUGGCAUUGGCCGUUGCCACCCAGCUGGACCUGGGCAACCCUUGGGCUC